This 964-nucleotide long non-coding RNA is filed under the name Homo sapiens (human). Its description in RNAcentral is "KCNMB2 antisense RNA 1". Lineage: Eukaryota; Metazoa; Chordata; Mammalia; Primates; Hominidae. The record is from RNAcentral.
CUCAGACUGCUGUGCUAGCAAUCAGCGAGACUCCGUGGGCGUAGGACCCUCCGAGCCAGAGAUGGGAUCUUACUACAUUGCCCAGGCUGAAGUGCAGUGGCUAUUAACAGCUGUAAUCAUAAUGCAUUGCAGCUUUGAAUUCCUGGGCUUGAGCGACCUCCCCACCUUAGCCUCCUGAGUAGCUGAGACUACAGGAAAUAAACUUAAGGAGAAAGAAGAAACAAAGAUGGGGCGGAAAUGUAAGAGAGGCAUUCUAAUAUAUGCAUUCUUCAUAACAACUGUGUGAAACAUAUUAAUAUCCUCAUUGUUAACGAUGAAGAAACUAAAUCUCAGGAAGAAAAACUAAGUGAAGACAAAAGAAGGAUUUGAACUGAGGUUUGUCAGACUCUCGGGACCAUGCUGUUGAAACCACUAAACCACGCUGCCUCUGGGUCACUUGAUUAUUCUGGGAGAUUCUGGGAGUCUUUUCUCCAACACUCCAGUGGCAUCUGACUAUGUGAGCUGAUAAGAUCUAUAGAUCUCCCCAGCAGUUGUUGAAAAGCAAGAGCAGGAACCGAGAGAAAGCCCCUUCUUUUAGUCGAAAACUCUUACUCUGCUUAGGAAAACCAUGAACCCAAACAGUGUGGGUCAGCCUUUCAAUAUGCAAAACGGACGAAGGCUGAAGCAAUCACAUGCCAUGCACAACUGUCAAACGGCAAGAAUGAAUGAUGGAUGGAAAGAAUGGGAAUGUGUACGUUAUCUUGCUCCACUUUGGACAGUCAUGAUCAUGGAAGAUAGAAGAGGGAUUUCUUAACAUUGGUCAGAGAAGAGGGUAUCAGUUAGCUGGAAGUGCUACUCUGAAAAACUGAUGGCCCUUUGCAGGUGUGACCCUGAGCUCUGCUGGAUUUCUUGUGAAGAAAACUCCAAGGAAUGGAUGAAUGCCUGGAAACUUACUGCUGGAAGUCAUAAGGCAAUGACAAGAAAA